This 440-nucleotide ribosomal RNA is filed under the name Shuttleworthella satelles. RNAcentral's name for it is "bacterial SSU rRNA". It matches the Rfam family "Bacterial small subunit ribosomal RNA", at positions 30 to 452 of the family's 1533-position model. The record is from RNAcentral. Lineage: Bacteria; Bacillati; Bacillota; Clostridia; Lachnospirales; Lachnospiraceae.
UGAACGCUGGCGGCGUGCUUAACACAUGCAAGUCGAACGAGAAAUGAUAUUACGAUCUCUUCGGAGUGACGGUUUUAUUUCGAGUGGCGGACGGGUGAGUAACGCGUGAGCAACCUGCCCUAUACCGGGGGAUACCAGUUGGAAACGACUGUUAAUACCGCAUAAGCGCACGAUAAGACAUCUUGUUGUGUGAAAAACUCCGGUGGUAUAGGAUGGGCUCGCGUAUGAUUAGCCAGUUGGCGGGGUAAAGGCCCACCAAAGCGACGAUCAUUAGCCGACCUGAGAGGGCGACCGGCCACAUUGGGACUGAGACACGGCCCAAACUCCUACGGGAGGCAGCAGUGGGGAAUAUUGCACAAUGGGCGAAAGCCUGAUGCAGCGACGCCGCGUGAGUGAGGAAGUAUUUCGGUAUGUAAAGCUCUAUCAGCAGGGAAGAAAGA